Molecule: non-coding RNA, 5343 nt
Organism: Chlorocebus sabaeus (green monkey)
Lineage: Eukaryota; Metazoa; Chordata; Mammalia; Primates; Cercopithecidae
Source: RefSeq, a predicted model, not a curated record
AUUUUAGAUGAAUAUUAGCUGCCUUCAAAGACUUCUAAAAUACGUAUGUAUUAACCACAUACUUUAAAAUGAAUUGUUAUAUUUUUCAAUCAUUAUGUCAAUCAUUUAACAAUCUAAUGAAGUUCGUAUUGUAGAAUAAAAUAAUCACCUUUCAUAAAGGAUAGCAUCAUGUACUAUAAGCAAAUAUUGCUUACUCUUUAAUAUUUACCAAUUCUGGUUUUUUUUCAAGCUAUCAAAAUGCUAUUAGUAUGCUAGGCACGUACUAAACAGUGUUUAAAGCAUUUAGGAAGACAAGCUUUCUAACAGGAUUAAUUUUCCUAGUAUAAAUGUAAUAAAUAUAGACUCUUAUAAGUGAAAAUGUAUGCAUGAUAUCUGCUGCUUUAUUCUAGAUCGAUGAAGUACAGCAUUCUAUGUAACGCUUCUCCCCUUCUAGGGAGGAAGAAGAUGAUUCCAAAAACAUGGUCAUCUACCGCCAUCCCAUUCUUCGACACCGCUUUUGCAUCUGCAAAUGCACGCUGCUAUGCAGAAAUCAGGAAAGCAAAUAUCCUGAUCAGAAGUGACACACACAAUGAUCUAGGUUCAUCGCAGACACAUCCAAAGUGUCAUAAAGGAACCACCUACCAAAGUAUGUUUUUGUUUGUUUCUAGGAUAAGCUAACCAUGGUGAUGGGGGUGCCUCCUGGAUAGAGGGAACUGCAUCUGCAAACUCCCGAGGAGGAGGCACCAGAACCUCUUGGAUCUGCUGGGAAGACGGGGCUGUAGGAAGGGGGUGGGAGGAACAGAUGGAGAGUCACCUCCCCUGAACUCCACUUUCUUUCAAGAACACAGCACAGCAGAGUGCAAAGGAUGUGGGCUUCAAAGUCACAGAAAUGGGCUCAGGUUCUGAUUCCUGCUCACAUAUGUGUGAACUUGGGCAAGACAACUUCUUUGAGCCCAGUUUCUUCAUGUCUAAAAUGACAGGAGUAUGUACAACCUCAGAGGUUUUAUAAACAUUAAAUAAGGUAAAAUAUGUUAACUUUUUAGUGUAGUUUAAAUGUCUUGUAACUGAUCAAUUAUUGCUAUUACUGCCUUUCAGAGUGUCUGCUGUCAUAAUGGUCUAUUUUUUUCCUAUAUUUUAUCCCUUACAGUAUGGCAUGAAAGAGAGCAUUAUCCAAUCCUGGAGAAUGUCUGGGGCAUCAGAAUUUGGUGACUUGUUCACAGCUGCAUAGAGAAUCUAUAGUUAGAAGUGGACUGAAAUAUCCUGAAUUAGUAAGUUUCCAUGUGACCAGCACUCAGAACAGUGGGUGAGGGCUCAGUCCAGUGGAGUCGGAUUCAGACCCGUGCCCCUGCUGCUGCCUGAGGCAUGGUACCUGUGCUGUUAGGAUGGUAUAUAAGUGUGGCUGGCUGGGAUAUACUAGUUAAGAACAGUGUAUGUUUUGCUCACCUGACCCUUCCCUAAAACCAUGGGGACAUUUCAAGACUGCUUUCUCUGAUAUUUUUGCCACUAUUAUAAUGCAGUCCAUUAGGCAGAGUGCUUGAGACACUGUCUUAGUCCAUGUGUGCUCCUAGAACAAUAUAUCAUACACAGGUAGCUUAUAAACAACAGGAACAUAUUCCUCAGUUCUGGAGGCUGGAAGUCCAAUAUCAAGGCAGACUGGGUGUUUGGUGAGGGCCCGCCCUCCUCAUAGAUGGCACUUUCUCACCGAGUCCUCACGUGGGGCCCGCCCUCCUCACCCAUGGCGCUUUCUCAUUGAGUCCUCACGUAGGGCCCAUUCUCCUCAUAGAUGGCGCUUUCUCACCGAGUCCUCCCUGGAAGCCCAUUCUCCUCAUAGAUGGCGCUUUCUCACCGAGUCCUCACGGGGGGCCCGCCCUCCUCACCCAUGGCGCUUUCUCACCGAGUCCUCACGUGGGGCCCAUUCUCCUCACCCAUGGCGCUUUCUCACCGAGUCCUCACGUAGGGCCUGCUUUCUUCAUCGAUGGCUCUUUCUCACCGAGUCCUCACUUGGUGGAAGGUGCAAGGGAGCUCUCUGGGUUCCCUUUUUUAAGGACACUAAUCCCAUUAAUCAGGCUCCACCCUCAGGACCCCAUUACCUCCUAAAGGCCCCACCUCCUGACACCAUCAGUCUUGGGAUUAGGUUUUAGCACAAGCACUUUGGGGAGACACAGACACUGAGACCACAGCAGAUAGGCAGCACCAGUAUAACGCAGGCCAGUUGCUGGUCCCAGGAGAAACUGGAGGCAGAGAUGCCCAACCUUUUGGCUUCCCUGGGCCACACUGGAAGAAGAAAAAUUGUCUUGGGCCCCAUGUAAAAUACACUAACACUAACAAUAGCUGAUAAGAUUUUUUAAAAAUCACCAAAGAAAUACCAUGUUUUAAGAAAGUUUACAAAUUCCUGUUGGGUGCAUUCAAAGCUGUCCUGGGCUGCAUGUGACCGGCGGGCCACAGGUUGGACAUGCUUGGAAAUGGACAUCAAACAGAAACAGUCUGCACCUCCAGGAAGGAAGGGAGAAUUCGUGCUAAGAAGCUUUGAUUCACUCACACAUCCCAUGGCCAUUGCUUGGGUCCUCAGGUGCUCAGGGAACAGAGGGAGAAACUCUGUCCACAAGAAACCGGCAUUGUUUGGUGCAGUGUGUCCCAUGUGUUGUGUGCUCCUGGAGACUGGGCUGAGUGUAGGGUGGGGGCCACUCCCUUGAGGCUGGUUUAUGGAUGAAGGGGGCAGGGAAGGCACAUGUAAAGUAGCCAAGGUGCUGGGUCCCAGCGUGCUUGGAAUGUGUGAGGGGCCCUUCUGGAGCAGAGUGCAGGAGAGACAAGGGGAGAAGAGGCCGUUCUCAAUGCCACUUGCAGUACUCCGAACUCCGUCCUGCAGGCGGUGGGAAAUGAUUGACAAGCCUUGAGCAGGGGACCAACGUGAUCAGAUCUGUGUUUUAUGGAAGUGGCUAUGGAUGAUGGACAAAAAGAGUUUGGGGCCGUGGGUAGACAGACCAGUCCUGCCUGCCUCUGCCCACCCUCCCCAGUGGGCAGACAGGCAAGCCAGGGGCUUUCUGACCUUCCCUCCUUCUGUCAGAUGCUGUUGCUAAGCAGAGAGAUGAGAAGUGUCCCCCACGUCCAGCACUGCACCAGGUCCCGCAGGUGUGACGGUCCCUCCUGCAUGGUUUUCUUGCUUCAGAAGGUUGGGGCUGGACACAGCAGGGACCCAGGUGUGUGCAAGGUGCAGUGUUUGUGCUUUGGGAAGGACCUGCAGAUACAUCCAGUUCCUCAUUCCUGUCCUCAGAAACGCACUGGGGCACAGUGGCAGUGGGACAAAAACCUGCUGUGAUGUGAACCUCAGGGUGACUCAAAACCUGUUCGUGCUCCAUGUUCUGUUAGGCUGCUGUCAAUAAAUGAACAAUUUCUCGUAGAUGUCUUUGGAUAUUUUUAUGUCUGUACCUCCUCUUUCGGCAAUGAAUUCCAUAAGUUUACUCUUCACAAUAUCAAUUACUUUCUUCAAUUUGUCCUUAGUAUAAAUCAGACAUGUUUAAACAUGACUCUGAGGUUUUCUCUUUGUCCUUAUGGGCUGGGAGUUGACACCUUCAAAGUAAAGAAGGAGACUUUUGUUUUCUCUCAGAAUGAAUGCAUGUACUAUUUUAUUUUUAAUUGUGAUAAAACAUAUGUAACAUAAAACUUACCAUUUUAACCAUUUUAAGAGUGCAGCCCCGUGGCAUCGGGUAAAUUCACAAUUUUGUACAACCAUCAUCAUCACUGUUCAAUUCCAGAACUUUUCAUCAUCCUGACCAGAAUCUCUGGACCUGUUAAACACUAGCUCAUCAUUUCUCUCUUCCCCAAAACUCUGGCAAAAGCAACUCUAGUUUUUGCUUCCAUGGAUUUUUUAAAUUGACAUGUAAUAAUUAUGCAUAUUUAUGGGGUACAGUGUGAUAUAUUGUUGCAUGUGUACCAUGUGUAACCAUCAAAUCAGUCUAAUUAGCAUAUCCAUCACCUCAGUUCUCAUUUCUUUGUGUUGAGAGCAUUCAAAAUCCUCUCUUCUGCUGCUUGAAAACAUAGUCAAUUACCCUCUGAGGAGAUGAGAACUUCUUCCUUUGUAAUUGUAGGUUUGUUCGUGUUAACAAAGCUCCCCCCACCAGCACCCCACUCCCUCACUGUCUCCUGUAACCACUGUGCUAUUCUCCACGUCUGUGAGCUCUUCUUUAGCUUCCACAUGUAAGUGAGGCCAUGCGGUGUUUUUCUUUCUACAUCUGGCUUAUUUCACUUAGCACGAUGUCCUCCAGGUUCACCCAUGUUGUUGCAAAUGACAUGAUUUUCUUCUUUUUAAGGCUGAGUAGUAUUCCAGUGUGUAUUUUGCCACAUUUCCUCUGUAUUCACCUGCUGUUGCUGUCAACUUGGAUUGAAUCUGCAUUGUGGCUGUUGUGAAUAGUGCUGCAAUAAUUGGGCGGUGCAGACAUCCCUUCCAUAUCGAGAUUUCCCUCCCCUUUGAUAAACAUUCAGUGGGAGGUUUGUUGGACCAUAUAGAGGUUCUGUUCUCAGUUUUAGCUUUUAAGUGGCUGUACCAGUUUACACUCCCAUCAGUCGUGUGUAAGAGUUAAGGAAAGGCUUUGAGUCAGAGGAGACCAGGCAGGGCAGCUGAUUUUGAAUCCUACUCCGACACUCACUGUGGCCACAGCCAGUCCCUGCGGCUCUGGGCUUUUAAUCUCCUCAUGAGCAAAGUGGGGCUGCUUUCCCUUUCUUUUUAGUGUGUAGGUCUUUUUAAAGGAUUGAAUCAAUUAGUAAAUAUAAUUGUCUGUAUAAACUAAGCAGCUGGCUCUGUUAUUUUUUUCAUGCUGUUCAUAAUUUAGUUGACUUUGACCAAAUACACUCCUGGUUUUCCUUUCAGAAUCCCAUGUUUCAGGGACUGUGUUUAUGUGGUAACAUUUUGGGUUUUUGUUGUCUUAGAACCUGUCAUGGUGAAGUAGUGAUUACAACUUCAUUCAGAGUGUCACAAUGCAUGUGCCACCCUCGUUCUGACUCAGGAAUUUGGGUCCCAUUUAGUUGUCAUCUCUGCUUUCACAGAACCUGGGGCCCCCUUCAGUAGUGACUCCCAGGCUCUGCUGCUGAGUGGUCAAAAAUCAAUACAAUGCAUCAGAUGUAUUUCAUGUAUUUCUCUCUAUAUAUAUUCAAAUGGAAAUUCGCCUUCUUUCUUUACAGUUUUGAGGCAGCAUUAGCAAUAUUUCUGCUGUGCCGACGCCUCAACAGGCCUGGCUUUCAGCGGUGCACUCCCUCCCCCAGCUCACAGGUUUAAAACCUCCGUUACUGACAUGAUUGCGUAUUUAGAAAACCCCAUCUUCUCAGCUUAAAAUCUCCUUAAGCUGAUAGCAACUUCAGCAAAGUCUCAGG